RNAcentral lists this ribosomal RNA (494 nucleotides) under uncultured bacterium. Its description in RNAcentral is "partial 16S ribosomal RNA". It matches the Rfam family "Bacterial small subunit ribosomal RNA", at positions 28 to 507 of the family's 1533-position model. The record is from RNAcentral.
GACGAACGCUGGCGGCGUGCUUAACACAUGCAAGUCGAACGGUGAAGCGCCUUCCUUUUUGGUGGGUGUGGAUGAGUGGCGAACGGGUGAGUAACACGUGAGUAACCUGCCCCCUUCUUCUGGAUAACCGCAUGAAAGUGUGGCUAAUACGGGAUAUUCUGGGUCUGUCGCAUGAUGGGUCUGGGAAAGAUAUUGUUUCGGUGGGGGAUGGGCUCGCGGCCUAUCAGCUUGUUGGUGGGGUGAUGGCCUACCAAGGCGGUGACGGGUAGCCGGCCUGAGAGGGUGGACGGUCACACUGGGACUGAGACACGGCCCAGACUCCUACGGGAGGCAGCAGUGGGGAAUAUUGCACAAUGGGCGCAAGCCUGAUGCAGCGACGCCGCGUGAGGGAUGGAGGCCUUCGGGUUGUGAACCUCUUUCGCCAGUGGAGCAGGCCUGCCUCGUUUGUGGGUGGGUUGACGGUAGCUGGAUAAGAAGCGCCGGCUAACUACGUG